UCUUCUUCUUCUUCUUCUUCUUCCAAGCUCUCUUCUUUACCAUUUCUGUAAACAUCGUUUAAAUCUGCAAGCCAUGGACCCGCAAGAGCAGGACGCAAUUGCUGGUGGAGAAACCGACCACAACGGAUAUGAGAUUAAGUCUCAAUCUCACACUGGAGACGGAGCUAGUCCUGGAAAAAUUUUCAUUGGAGGUUUAGCCAGGGAGACUACUUCUGCUCAAUUUGUCAAGCACUUUGGUAAAUAUGGUGAAAUUACUGAUUCUGUUAUAAUGAAGGACCGGAAGACUGGACAACCUCGUGGUUUUGGGUUUGUGACCUAUGCAGAUCCCUCAGUUGUUGAUCAAGUUAUACAGGACACACAUAUUAUUAAUGGGAAACAAGUGGAAAUCAAGCGAACGAUACCAAAGGGAGCUAUUGGAUCUAAGGAUUUCAAGACCAAAAAGAUUUUUGUUGGUGGAAUUCCAACAGCUGUGACUGAAGAUGAGUUCAAAGAAUUCUUUAUGCAAUAUGGUGAGGUCAUUGAACACCAGAUCAUGCGAGACCACUCUACCAACCGCUCUCGUGGCUUUGGAUUUAUUACAUUUGACUCAGAGGAGACAGUGGAUGAUCUUUUGGCCAAAGGGAAUAAGCUUGAGUUAGCUGGAACUCAGGUCAGCCAAUAGCAACAACAGUUUGUUCUUCCUUUUCCUUAGGUUCUUUAAGAUAAUAUUUAUGUCGUUACAGCUGCCCUUCUUACUCUAGGUUCUUGAAGAUAGUAGUUAUAUCUAGAUAAUAUUUGGUUGUUGAUGCUCCUUUUCUUGUUCCAACAAUGUGACUGGAAUUAUUACAAGACCUCAACUCAAUCCAUUAUAGUUGACAUUACAAUUAGCUUUUAUAGUUUUGCAUGAGAAUGCAUUGUUGGAGAAACCAAGCUGUUUCCAUAGAACCCAAAAAAAGAAAUUUCUACUCGGAGGCAAACAACUCUCUGAAGUGAAUUCAUGUAAAAUUUAUGAUUUAAAUAGAACUCUAAAAGAACUAGAAAAAAAAAAAUCUAUAAUUUCCCUAAUAAACUCUAUAUUAAAACUGAACUAUAAUCCUAAGCUUCUUGAGUAUUUGACUAUGAAUUUUCUUGAAUUCCUUGGCUGCAUCACUAGUUCCCAAAUUCUAUUAUGGAAACUAAUAAAGAAACUAGUUGGAGCCCUAACUGCACCUCUCCAAAUUUGGAGUCUGAAGAAGAGCCUGCUUUUGAGUCCCUUGUAUCAACACCUUUUAUGAAGGUGGAAAAAACUCGACAUUUUCCAUCAGUAGAUGUUGUCGCAAGAAGGAUAUUAUUAGGGUGCCAAGCAACACUUGUGACAGAGGAAUCAUGUCUCUUCCUGAUAAGUUUGCUAACCCACCUGUAGAAAUGUAAAUUUUGAAUAUUUUCUGGUACAGUCACAUGAAGAAAUUUAGGCCGGCACACAAACUGCAUAAAGUUAAUAACCCUAGCUUCAAGUUAUACAGGCUAAGUACAAGAAUUUUGCCCUUAACAAAAUUCAAGCAAAUAUUUAAUUAAUCAUAGUCAAAAAUCAAAAUGUAGAAACCCAAAAUUAGGUAGAGCAUAUGCAAAUUAUACAGUAAUUACCAGUUGUUGUCUUGCUCAUAGUAGUAUAUACAUACAGAUACAGUUUUAGCCCCACUUCCAACAGCAAACUUAUUCUCUUAUAUCAGAAAAAUAUUGUGUUUCAGUAUCUCUUGGACUCCACUGCACACAAAGUGCAGCACGGUUAAGCCUGAGGAUAACAAGGGUUGGUACCCAUUCUGGCCCUUCUUGGUUCCACACAUAUCUUGAAAGAAAAUACAUAUUCAGUCAACAAGAAGACAACAAAGAGAAAAGAAACAUGAUGAGAAAUAGUAGUCUCAUGUCAGUGCACAUGUGCACAAGUGAGAAAGAGGGGAAGAGAGGAAAAAAUUAAUGCUAAAAUUUUAUUUCUCCAAUUAUUUCCUAAAGAAAAAAAAAAAUUGACUAUAGAUCAAACAAGUAGGCACUCACGAAUUUCAAUCAUGAGAUGUAGUAACAAUUCUGUUUGAUCUUGCACUCCAAUCUAUCCCAGAGACAAUUUGAUCAUGCUUUUGAAGGACAUGUACCCUCUCCCAUUUGUCUUGGGAGGAUUUAUAAAUGUGAACUUCAAUAUUAUUGGGACAAAGAACUAUCACUAUCCAAAUGGAUGAGACAGAAUGAAUAACAUCCUUAUUCGAACAACGCAUAAAAGAGGUCCAAAAUCAGCGUUUUCCUACAUUUUCCAAGAAACCAAACCAAAAACAAAGAAAUUACUUAUAGAACACUAAAGGAAGAAAGAAAGUUAAUUACUAGAGUGAUCGGGACUCCAAGCGUCGCAAGUUAGUGAACCGCGACAGCCGCCAUUUCUUGUACUUUUGCGCUCGAUUACCU
RNAcentral lists this unclassified non-coding RNA (2409 nucleotides) under Hevea brasiliensis (rubber tree). Lineage: Eukaryota; Viridiplantae; Streptophyta; Magnoliopsida; Malpighiales; Euphorbiaceae. The record is from RNAcentral.